This 75-nucleotide antisense RNA is filed under the name Actinacidiphila yanglinensis. RNAcentral's name for it is "Streptomyces yanglinensis ASpks TB sRNA". It matches the Rfam family "ASpks TB sRNA". Lineage: Bacteria; Bacillati; Actinomycetota; Actinomycetes; Kitasatosporales; Streptomycetaceae. The record is from Rfam by way of RNAcentral.
CUUCAACGAGCCCAGCCAGAGCGGGCUGCCGCCCUCCCGCUCCUGCCCGUAGGUGGCCAGCAGCGCCUCCGCCUC